UAAGAACUAAAACAUCUACUGAAAUUUUCCUUAUUUUAGACAAUCCUCAGGAAACAUCUCCUCAUCAUUCAGUUGCCAGCAUGCAUGGCUAGAAUACUUAUAUCAACACAGAAGUGGCCAUAACACUUAAAUUUGUCCAGGUGAUUCUCCUGAGUUUCUACUAGCUACCUUUAGAAAUUAACAACAGAUGACUAACCGUGGAAACCAAAUGGGCUCUCAGUAUCUGCUGACUGACGGAGCAGCAGGACGGCAGGUGCAUCAGGGUGCUGACCUGGCCCUUCACCCUCUCGUUGCAUCGGGGAGCACAGGGCCUGUCCGUGCAGAUGCAGCAGUCCUCAAAGCAUCUACAUCCUGUUUCUCAAGAGACAUUUUCCAGAAUCUUGGCAGUAGGUGAUUCUGAAACACUUUUGAAUUACUCUUAAUCCUUUAUAAUUAGGAAUCCAGAAUAAAAAACACAACCCUGGCAGUUGUUAUGACGAAAUGAUCGCCAAUGUUUAAGGGAAAUUGAAGCAAGAAGCAUAAUUUCUUCCUUUAGGUUAUAUUUCGGUUCAGGACUUGAAAACAACGUACAAUGAACAGCUUGUCUUGGGAGAAGAUAUGAUAAAAUGUAAUAAUGUUGUUAAAGUAGCGUAGAAAAAUCCCAACCAGCAAAAACUUAAAAUGAAUCCCAAUUCAAGAACUUUUCUAUUUGGAACCCAUUCAAAAGAGAGAAAGUAUAAUUUUAAGGAAGUUAUUUAAUUCUAAUCAUUUGUGGAGAAAGGUUAUCUGAAGACAAAAUUCUCUGAAAUCAGGAAUCUUGUUUUAGAAUUAUAUUUAUGCUCAGUUCCAGUUCUAAAAAGAAGCAACGAUUCAUUAUAGAUAUUUAAACUCUGUGAAAAAUACUAAAUUUGAAAUUCACCAGAGAUAAUUUUUAAAAAUAUAAAGCCCUGGAUUAUAAUUUAGA
This 943-nucleotide long non-coding RNA is filed under the name Bos taurus (domestic cattle). RNAcentral describes it as "long non-coding RNA NONBTAT021744". The record is from RNAcentral. Lineage: Eukaryota; Metazoa; Chordata; Mammalia; Artiodactyla; Bovidae.